Carcharodon carcharias (great white shark) is the source of this 172-nucleotide long non-coding RNA. RefSeq lists it as uncharacterized. The transcript is spliced from 3 exons. NCBI's taxonomy places the organism in Eukaryota, Metazoa, Chordata, Chondrichthyes, Lamniformes, Lamnidae. The record is from RefSeq and is a predicted model, not a curated record.
GGGACUUCCUGGAGACGGAUGGAGAUCCUCCAGCAGAGCAGGUGCCACCAAGACAACGACGAGGCCAGACCCCAAGCCUGAGUCCACACAUCCGGCAGCCUGCGGAUGAGCGAAGAUGAUGAGGGUCAGAUGCUUCUCAAAAGGGCAACGAUUCCUAUCAUCUGGUGAGAGC